RNAcentral lists this long non-coding RNA (2452 nucleotides) under Salvia miltiorrhiza (redroot sage). RNAcentral's name for it is "long non-coding RNA (SMIL_LNC005512)". Lineage: Eukaryota; Viridiplantae; Streptophyta; Magnoliopsida; Lamiales; Lamiaceae. The record is from RNAcentral.
UGUUUGAUACCUUGAGUCGAUAUGUCAAUGUCCUGAUUUUAGAAGUUUCUGUGACUUUUUUAUCCACAGCAGCAGUCAGGAAAUUAUUUCUUCAGUUUAUUAUCUCUUUGAAAUGCUUACAUGGAUGUACGUGCAACAUCAUAUGCUGAUUGCCAUGGAUGGAACUGAUAACACUCAUUUUUCCAUGGUUUUUUAAUAUUCAUAUGAUGUUAAUUUUAUAGGAAAUUGAGUGUUGGAUGAUUGUUUUGUGCUUAAUUUGCUUUAUCUUGUGAAACAUGAUUCUUACUCGAACUUUGAAGGAAUUUGCAGAUUUAUUGAGUUCGAAAUUGGAACAAUGUUCUGAAAUAGAAGUUGUAGAUCGUCUCGAUACGAGUUCGUGAGCGCAAACGGAUCAUAAAUCGGAGUUCGGACGAGAAAGUUAUGGCUGAAACAAAAACGUCGCGCGCAGCAGUAAAAAUUCGGCGACCCAGACGGCGACCGCCGGCCAGGUCGCCGAAUUCCCUGUUUCAAUUUUUGUCCUCCGGUGGAAAAUUGCGGUCGCCGAAUACCACUGAAGAAAUUGGCCAUUUUUCGGCGACCCAGACGGCGAUCGCCGAACGGGUCGCCGUUUUUAGGCGUGUUUCCGUUUCCUUCCGCGUUUUUUACGUUUUUCCAAGUUAUUUUCGAGCUCAAACACUGUAUUUUACCCUGACACUAUAAAUAGGUCUUCUUUUGACCUAUUUAGAGUUCCCAGCUUUAUUUUUCAGUUCAACAUUAUUUUCAUUUAUAGCUUUAGAACUUUUAGCUUUCCAGUUUUACAAGGUUGGAUUCAAGAUUGAAGAUUCAAGCCGCUACAAUGUUUUAAUUCAGUUUUAUAAUUCGUUUUUCAAUUGUUCUUUAAUUAUGUUUUGUUUUUUUAAUGUUGGCUAGUUUCUUUUACUGACUAGGGUUUGUAAUAGUGAUUGAAUUUAUGUGUUUUGAUUUUUAUAUCUUGUGCCUCCAUUAUGAUUCAUAUUCUGGUGCUUAAUUCUUGUGAAUUAUUGCAAUUUUACAUGUUAGCUUUCAGUUUGAGACUAAGGAUAAUGUUCAGCCGAUUCAGGAAUGCAUGUAUAAUUACCUUGAGCUGAAGGAGAUAGGUGAACUUAGGAGCUAUUCUUUAGGCUAUUGGGAGUUAUAUUCCUUGGAGUCUGAAGGAAAAGAGAUUAAUAAUCUACUCAUAGUGUCGUUAGAGACGUGUGAUUAAAGUGAUCUUUCAUCAUGGAUUAAAAUGGUAAUUAGAUAAUAGGUAAUGCAUAUAGUUGAUUAUGAAAAUACACCCUAGGUCAGACUCUUUAUUGAUUAAUCUAGUAUUUAUGUCUUAUUAUUUAGUUAAUUUUAGUUAAUAUCACCUUCAAUGUUUUACUUGCAUACUGUGAAAGUUGUGUAGGAAAUAGAUAGAGUGAUUUCGUGUUACAAUCCCUGUGGAUACGAUAUCCGAUUGCUGUUUAUACUACAAUUACACCGUGUUAGUUGCGGUAUUUUUGUUGCUAAUAAAAAUAGUGAUCAGGAACUAGCCGACUAGCUUCCCUGCAGUUUCUUGCUGGUAAAUCAUGCAAAUUCGGUUGCUGGCUUAAUGGUAUGUAGCAUCUCCUUAUAUGAUAGGUUGAUAUGGGCAUCAUCUUUUUGGCCACAGUAACUUGUUCCGGUCAUUGCUUCGUUCUGUUAUAUUGUUCUGCAAACUAGAACGCUGGCAUUUUCUUUAAUUUGUAUGAACAUUUAGCUAGUUUUGCUUCGUGAUAGCAUCUGACAUUCUGGGCAGAACAUUUGAUGCAGAUGCACAAACAAUUCUAGCUCGCGAAGGAAAUAUUGAUUUAUCAUUUUUCCAAAGGUACUAUUAUAAUGCCAUGUGGUCUAGCUACUAUUUGAGAUUUUUUAUUUUGAGGUUCCUCAUUUCUUUAAGGUGAAUGCUUGAUGUGUUCUUUCUUGAAGAAAUGAACUAAGAUCCUUCAUCAUCCCUGUGCUUUAUUAUAAUGUUCUAUCAUCCCUCAUCGUCAUAGUAUUAAACAAGAGCUGUCAUUGGGUGCAUUUUUCUAUUAAUUACUUGCUAUAUCAUCCUCAUCUACUCAGUGUUUUUCUAAUUAAAGUUUAUUAUGUUUCAGCAUUAAGUUUGUCAUUUUGUUCUCACUUUUCUUGAGCAGGUCAUUACAGGGGUGGAAGUCUAAAAUAGUGGAGGUCUAAUCGUUGCUUGGCUAUUGCAACCAGUGGAGGUCUAAACCAGCAAAGGACCGGGGUGGAAGUCUAAAAUAGUGGAGGUCUAAUCAUUCUUUCACUUAUUAAUUGAUUUUUUUCUAUUGGGAGUAUCAUGAUGCUCUACAUUGUGAUUCUUGGUUGGCUCUUUGUAUGAUUUUGUGGCAGGUUUGUGGUGGAUUAAAUGAGUCGUACGUUGAGCUGGAGAUACUUGUGAAUUCACAAGAAAAUUGUACCGGAUGGCUAG